AGUUCCCAUCCACGUACUGAAUGUUUUCGCUGCAUCCGCAUUCGUCUGCCUCAACACGGAUUUGGAGAAAAGCACCAUGUUUACUUCUAUUCCAGUAAAUGCAAGAGCAGCAAGUCCUUCACUUACUGAAACAACAAUGCUGGAAAAUUAAUAUGAAAUAUAUCAGAGUUGGUCAAUGAAAGUACCAAGCACCAGAGAUCCUGCUCUCCAUCCACCUGUUCUGUCUCUUGCUGCUGGCUCCCCAUACAUGUCGAGUGUCCCAUCUUUCGUGCAUUCAUCGAGAAGCCCCGUCCCUCGUUCCUGCAUGCCGUAGAUCAAGCUUAAUGAGAUCAGUCUAUACAAGGCGCAGCUGUAAGAAUAAGAUAUAAGGAUGUUGAUUGGAUUAGGGUCAGUCUCAUCGGCUAUUCAUUUCGGGUUAGUUGGGAUGGAUUUAUUUUUUCCGGUUAGAAAUUUUCAAACCACAGCCCUCGUCUUUGCAGUCUAUUAUUUGACCACUCUUUCUAGAUUCGGGUUGAAUUGGCAUUCCUUUGUAUAUUAUUGUUUUGUUUCUCGACGAACAACGACGUAAAGUAUGUAUAGACAGAAAGGUGCUGGCUUUAGUUUUGUUGGUAUGGGAGUGAACAGAGAGUGCUAAACCUCCAAUCAUGGCUCUUACAUCUUCUUCAACAACAUGCGAGAGAUCAAAUAUUUGUAAAGUGGAAAAAGAGAUCGGCUCAAAAGAGAUUUUCUCAAUCA
Molecule: long non-coding RNA, 735 nt
Organism: Salvia splendens (bonfire salvia)
Lineage: Eukaryota; Viridiplantae; Streptophyta; Magnoliopsida; Lamiales; Lamiaceae
Exons: 3
Source: RefSeq, a predicted model, not a curated record